AAACAUUGCCCAUGUCGUGGUAAUGCCCAACGUUAGCCAAGAGAAGCUGGAUGAUUUCCUAGCCGAAUUGGUUGAGAAACGCUCGACUUGGUACAAAGAUGAAAACGUUCAACCUCCUUGUGUCGCAGCAGAGUUGGGAAGUGAGAGCUGUGCUUGUAAGUUGCACAGGAGUUGAUGUGCUUUUAUGGAAGUUGUAUUCUGUUGUAUUGCUCGUUUUGUAGUGAAACUCUAGAUUCACUUGAAUGUUGGGUUAUAUUGUAGUCGUGUGUUUCGAG
This 275-nucleotide unclassified non-coding RNA is filed under the name Hevea brasiliensis (rubber tree). The record is from RNAcentral. Lineage: Eukaryota; Viridiplantae; Streptophyta; Magnoliopsida; Malpighiales; Euphorbiaceae.